This 72-nucleotide transfer RNA is filed under the name Camelus bactrianus (Bactrian camel). It matches the Rfam family "tRNA". Rfam says of the family: Transfer RNA (tRNA) molecules are approximately 80 nucleotides in length. Their secondary structure includes four short double-helical elements and three loops (D, anti-codon, and T loops). Further hydrogen bonds mediate the characteristic L-shaped molecular structure. tRNAs have two regions of fundamental functional importance: the anti-codon, which is responsible for specific mRNA codon recognition, and the 3' end, to which the tRNAs corresponding amino acid is attached (by aminoacyl-tRNA synthetases). tRNAs cope with the degeneracy of the genetic code in two manners: having more than one tRNA (with a specific anti-codon) for a particular amino acid; and 'wobble' base-pairing, i.e. permitting non-standard base-pairing at the 3rd anti-codon position. Lineage: Eukaryota; Metazoa; Chordata; Mammalia; Artiodactyla; Camelidae. The record is from Rfam by way of RNAcentral. RNAcentral also lists the same sequence under 2 other names.
AAAGGUAUAGCUCAGUGGUAGAGCGCAUGCUUAGCAUGCAUGAGGUGAUGGGGUCGAUCCCCAGUACCUCUG